GUGGGGAAUUUUGGACAAUGGGCGCAAGCCUGAUCCAGCAAUGUCGCGUGCAGGAAGAAGGCCUUCGGGUUGUAAACUGCUUUUGUACGGAACGAAACGGUCCUGGUUAAUACCUGGGGCUAAUGACGGUACCGUAAGAAUAAGCACCGGCUAACUACGUGCCAGCAGCCGCGGUAAUACGUAGGGUGCGAGCGUUAAUCGGAAUUACUGGGCGUAAAGCGUGCGCAGGCGGUGCUGUAAGACAGGCGUGAAAUCCCCGGGCUCAACCUGGGAAUUGCGCUUGUGACUGCAGUGCUGGAGUACGGCAGAGGGGGAUGGAAUUCCGCGUGUAGCAGUGAAAUGCGUAGAUAUGCGGAGGAACACCGAUGGCGAAGGCAGUCCCCUGGGCCUGUACUGACGCUCAUGCACGAAAGCGUGGGGAGCAAACAGGAUUAGAAACCCUUGUAGUCC
RNAcentral lists this ribosomal RNA (450 nucleotides) under uncultured bacterium. RNAcentral describes it as "partial 16S ribosomal RNA". It matches the Rfam family "Bacterial small subunit ribosomal RNA", at positions 354 to 796 of the family's 1533-position model. The record is from RNAcentral.